This 247-nucleotide unclassified non-coding RNA is filed under the name Hevea brasiliensis (rubber tree). Lineage: Eukaryota; Viridiplantae; Streptophyta; Magnoliopsida; Malpighiales; Euphorbiaceae. The record is from RNAcentral.
AAAAUUCUGGCUUCGUCACUGUAUAAAAGCAUAUAAAAAGUAGGGCUUCUUGUGGAAUGUAGUUAAAGCAAAGAGCUGAGGGGUAUAAUUUAAUUCUACUUGUAAUUAUGAUUGCAUUUUGGGGCUCCUAUUAAAUUCAAUUAUUGCUUAGUCAAAGCAAAUUUCUCUGUUUGCUUCCCUUGUAAUUGACCUAAGGAUUCUAGAUGUUUAAACGCAUGCAUUUAAGAAACUUGAACUUACACCACAU